This 252-nucleotide ribosomal RNA is filed under the name uncultured bacterium. RNAcentral's name for it is "partial 16S ribosomal RNA". It matches the Rfam family "Bacterial small subunit ribosomal RNA", at positions 524 to 776 of the family's 1533-position model. The record is from RNAcentral.
UACGGAGGAUGCGAGCGUUAUCCGGAUUUAUUGGGUUUAAAGGGUGCGUAGGCGGAUCUUUAAGUCAGCGGUAAAAUGUCCGGGCUCAACCCGGGCCGGCCGUUGAAACUGGGGAUCUUGAGUGGGCGAGAAGUAUGCGGAAUGCGUGGUGUAGCGGUGAAAUGCAUAGAUAUCACGCAGAACACCGAUUGCGAAGGCAGCUUACCAAUCUAUAUCUGACGUUGAGGCACGAAAGCGUGGGGAGCAAACAGG